RNAcentral lists this long non-coding RNA (199 nucleotides) under Elaeis guineensis (African oil palm). RNAcentral describes it as "long non-coding RNA (EGUI_LNC020241)". The record is from RNAcentral. Lineage: Eukaryota; Viridiplantae; Streptophyta; Magnoliopsida; Arecales; Arecaceae.
CAUUAUACAAUGAACCGUGGUCUGGUAAUUGAGCCACUUCAAAUAAGUAUCUCGAAUCGCACCACGAGCAUUAGGAGCAGGCUUCUCAGGUGUCGGAUCUAUAAUAACAUACAUGAUCUGCUCGUGCUCUAGAAUGAUUUUUAGUUUUUGAUAUCAGCUAUCGAAAUUGGGUUCUGUUAACUUCUUACUAUCCGACAGU